Molecule: ribosomal RNA, 301 nt
Filed under: uncultured bacterium
Lineage: Bacteria
Description: partial 16S ribosomal RNA
Rfam family: Bacterial small subunit ribosomal RNA
Source: RNAcentral
CAGUAGCCGCGGGAAUACGAAGGGGGCUAGCGUUGCUCGGAAUCACUGGGCGUAAAGGGUGCGUAGGCGGGUCUUUAAGUCAGGGGUGAAAUCCUGGAGCUCAACUCCAGAACUGCCUUUGAUACUGAAGAUCUUGAGUUCGGGAGAGGUGAGUGGAACUGCGAGUGUAGAGGUGAAAUUCGUAGAUAUUCGCAAGAACACCAGUGGCGAAGGCGGCUCACUGGCCCGAUACUGACGCUGAGGCACGAAAGCGUGGGGAGCAAACAGGAUUAGAUACCCCUGUAGUCCCUGUCUCUUAUAU